This 260-nucleotide ribosomal RNA is filed under the name uncultured bacterium. RNAcentral's name for it is "partial 16S ribosomal RNA". It matches the Rfam family "Bacterial small subunit ribosomal RNA", at positions 793 to 1055 of the family's 1533-position model. The record is from RNAcentral.
GUCCACACCGUAAACGUUGGGCGCUAGGUGUGGGGCCUAUUCCAUGGGUUCCGUGCCGCAGCUAACGCAUUAAGCGCCCCGCCUGGGGAGUACGGCCGCAAGGCUAAAACUCAAAGGAAUUGACGGGGGCCCGCACAAGCGGCGGAGCAUGCGGAUUAAUUCGAUGCAACGCGAAGAACCUUACCUGGGUUUGACAUAUGCCGGAAAGCUCUAGAGAUAGAGCCCCUUUUGUCGGUAUACAGGUGGUGCAUGGCUGUCGU